This 467-nucleotide ribosomal RNA is filed under the name uncultured bacterium. Its description in RNAcentral is "partial 16S ribosomal RNA". It matches the Rfam family "Bacterial small subunit ribosomal RNA", at positions 28 to 506 of the family's 1533-position model. The record is from RNAcentral.
GACGAACGCUGGCGGCGUGCUUAACACAUGCAAGUCGAACGGAAAGGCCCUGCUUUUGUGGGGUGCUCGAGUGGCGAACGGGUGAGUAACACGUGAGUAACCUGCCCUUGACUUUGGGAUAACUUCAGGAAACUGGGGCUAAUACCGGAUAGGAGCUCCUGCUGCAUGGUGGGGGUUGGAAAGUUUCGGCGGUUGGGGAUGGACUCGCGGCUUAUCAGCUUGUUGGUGGGGUAGUUGCUUACCAAGGCUUUGACGGGUAGCCGGCCUGAGAGGGUGACCGGCCAAAUUGGGACUGAGAGACGGCCCAGACGCCUACGGGAGGCAGCAGUGGGGAAUAUUGCACAAUGGGCGGAAGCCGGAUGCAGCAACGCCGCGUGCGGGAUGACGGCCUUCGGGUGGUAAACCGCUUUCGCCUGUGACGAAGCGUGAGUGACGGUAAUGGGGAAAGAAGCACCGGCUAACUACGU